RNAcentral lists this transfer RNA (90 nucleotides) under Agrobacterium tumefaciens. Its description in RNAcentral is "tRNA-Ser". It matches the Rfam family "tRNA". Rfam says of the family: Transfer RNA (tRNA) molecules are approximately 80 nucleotides in length. The record is from RNAcentral. Lineage: Bacteria; Pseudomonadati; Pseudomonadota; Alphaproteobacteria; Hyphomicrobiales; Rhizobiaceae.
GGAGAGGUGGCAGAGUGGUCGAAUGCACCGCACUCGAAAUGCGGCGUGGGGGUAACUCCACCGUGGGUUCGAAUCCCACCCUCUCCGCCA